RNAcentral lists this long non-coding RNA (301 nucleotides) under Vitis vinifera (wine grape). Its description in RNAcentral is "long non-coding RNA (VVIN_LNC003789)". The record is from RNAcentral. Lineage: Eukaryota; Viridiplantae; Streptophyta; Magnoliopsida; Vitales; Vitaceae.
UUAUUUAGUAGAGACCCAUUUUUUUUAGGGGCUUAGAGGGGUGCUACGGUCUUUACCGUACCUUCCCAAUAAGUAACCUGAUCCCCGAACCCAGACUCAGGUUUUUCGCAGACAGCUUUUCCAAAAAAAAUCAGGAGUCCAUUUAGGGGUUUUAUUCUUACUUGUUUUCCCCUUCAAAAAUAAAUAAAAGUAAGUGGCGACUCCAAGUCUUUUCUAAAAAUCAUAUUUUUCACCUAAAUAAACGAAAAGCGAGUCUCGCCGAUCGAGUGGGAACGCAUCAUUAAAAAUGCGGGGUCCACAA